UGACAUAGUUUGUGUACCCAAGUCCAUCUUCUAAUUUGUAUUGAGCAAAUUAAACGACAACUUGACUUUAAUUUUUUUAUUUUUUUUUCAUAUCAUCUUCAGCAAAUCAUUCAUAUAAUGCUUUAUCCGAACUUUUAACAGGUUUCUCAAACUUUUUUUAAAAACCAUUUUUACUUUUAACUGGAUUUCUAACCCCAAAACAUUAGGAAUCAAC
Molecule: long non-coding RNA, 214 nt
Filed under: Capsella rubella
Lineage: Eukaryota; Viridiplantae; Streptophyta; Magnoliopsida; Brassicales; Brassicaceae
Description: long non-coding RNA (CRUB_LNC004756)
Source: RNAcentral